RNAcentral lists this long non-coding RNA (503 nucleotides) under Heterocephalus glaber (naked mole-rat). RNAcentral describes it as "lncRNA (ENSHGLG00100037899.1)". The record is from RNAcentral. Lineage: Eukaryota; Metazoa; Chordata; Mammalia; Rodentia; Bathyergidae.
UUUUUUCUCUUUUUGCUUUUUCUUUUUAAAUUUUGGCCGCCGUCCUCGGAGCGGGCCUCUCUGCCCGAGCCCGGCACGCUGGCUGUCCCUCCGUUUCCCACGGAGCCCCGCGGGCGCCGGCCGGGGAGCGGGCCGAGGGUGGGGGAGCCAGCAGAGUUCCAUUUUGGAAGCCCGCGCUCGUCUCCGCGCGCCCAGCCCGGGUCCCCGCGUCCGCGCGCCCCCAGCCCCGGCGCCGCAGGUCCCGAAGCCCUGGCUGCUCCCAGAGUGCAUCUGUCAGAAGAUUCCCAGGAUGUGAGCCACACAAGUGUGGUCUCCCUGGGGCCGGGCUGCGGGCUCAGCCUGGGGAGCAGGAACACGGGAGGACUCCGGCUCCGUCCUCCAGGGCUCGCGGGACAGUGAAGACAGCACUACCUACCACCUGUCACGUUAUGCCAUGCAGACCGUGGGAAAACGCCAGUGCGCGGCCCCGUGGCAGGGCCUCAGCCUCCUCUUGGCUAGUGGUG